Molecule: ribosomal RNA, 370 nt
Filed under: uncultured bacterium
Lineage: Bacteria
Description: bacterial SSU rRNA
Rfam family: Bacterial small subunit ribosomal RNA
Source: RNAcentral
AACGAACGCUGGCGGCAGGCCUAACACAUGCAAGUCGAACGCCGUAGCAAUACGGAGUGGCAGACGGGUGAGUAACGCGUGGGAACAUACCCCUCGGUUCGGAAUAACUCAGGGAAACUUGAGCUAAUACCGGAUACGUCCGAGGUUUUGAUCGACCUUGGAGAAAGAUUUAUCGCCGAAGGAUUGGCCCGCGUCUGAUUAGCUUGUUGGUGAGGUAAUGGCUCACCAAGGCGACGAUCAGUAGCUGGUCUGAGAGGAUGAUCAGCCACAUUGGGACUGAGACACGGACCCAAACUCCUACGGGAGGCAGCAGGUGGGGAAUAUUGGACAAGUGGGACGAAAGCCUGAUCCAGCCAUGCCGCGUGAGUGA